GAUGCACGCUGGCGGCGUGCCUAAUACAUGCAAGUCGAGCGAACAGACGAGGAGCUUGCUCCUCUGACGUUAGCGGCGGACGGGUGAGUAACACGUGGAUAACCUACCUAUAAGACUGGGAUAACUUCGGGAAACCGGAGCUAAUACCGGAUAAUAUAUUGAACCGCAUGGUUCAAUAGUGAAAGACGGUUUUGCUGUCACUUAUAGAUGGAUCCGCGCCGCAUUAGCUAGUUGGUAAGGUAACGGCUUACCAAGGCGACGAUGCGUAGCCGACCUGAGAGGGUGAUCGGCCACACUGGAACUGAGACACGGUCCAGACUCCUACGGGAGGCAGCAGUAGGGAAUCUUCCGCAAUGGGCGAAAGCCUGACGGAGCAACGCCGCGUGAGUGAUGAAGGUCUUCGGAUCGUAAAACUCUGUUAUUAGGGAAGAACAAAUGUGUAAGUAACUAUGCACGUCUUGACGGUACCUAAUCAGAAAGCCACGGCUAACUACGUG
This 497-nucleotide ribosomal RNA is filed under the name uncultured bacterium. RNAcentral's name for it is "partial 16S ribosomal RNA". It matches the Rfam family "Bacterial small subunit ribosomal RNA", at positions 28 to 507 of the family's 1533-position model. The record is from RNAcentral.